RNAcentral lists this RNase P RNA (390 nucleotides) under Paenibacillus senegalimassiliensis. RNAcentral's name for it is "Bacterial RNase P class A". It matches the Rfam family "Bacterial RNase P class A". From Rfam's summary of the family: Ribonuclease P (RNase P) is a ubiquitous endoribonuclease, found in archaea, bacteria and eukarya as well as chloroplasts and mitochondria. Its best characterised activity is the generation of mature 5'-ends of tRNAs by cleaving the 5'-leader elements of precursor-tRNAs. Cellular RNase Ps are ribonucleoproteins. Lineage: Bacteria; Bacillati; Bacillota; Bacilli; Caryophanales; Paenibacillaceae. The record is from RNAcentral.
UUUGACAGACAAUCGCCGGCGGCGUUAAGCCGCGGGAGGAAAGUCCGGGCUCCAUAGGGCAGGGUGCUGGAUAACGUCCAGUCAGCGCGAGCUGAAGGAUAGUGCCACAGAAAUGGACCGCCGAUGGCGCGCUUUAGGCGCGUACAGGCAAGGAUGGAACCGAGGUGUAAGAGACCCCGAGGAACGCUGGUGACUUCGUUCCUGGUAAACCCCACUUGGAGCAAGACCUAAUGGGACGCAGCUUCUUAACAGAAGUAGCCUUAGCCCGAGGCGCGUCCGGGUUGGUUGCUGGAGCCGCUCAGUAAUGUGCGGCCUAGAUAGAUGAUUGUCGCUUGACUGCGGGAGGGUUGUUCCCGUUAUACCGCAAUGAGCACAGAACCCGGCUUACGG